AUGCUAUCUCAUGAAAAUGAACGACCGAGGACUUUGCCAUUAUCACUUUUGGAAAACAUCACAGAUGAUUUCUCUGAACACCAUCGAAUUGGAAGCGGUGGAUUUGCGGUGAUUUAUAAGGGAAAGCUUGAGAAUAAGGUUGUUGCUGUGAAGAAACUGUCUCAAAUGCUUGAUAUUUCUGAUGAUAAAUUCAAAGAUGAGAUUGGUUGUUUGAUGAAGGUGAAGCACCAAAACAUUGUACGGUUUUUAGGAUAUUGUGCUAACAUACAAGGCGAAAUGGUAGGCUACAAUGGAGAUUUUGUCACGGCAGAUGUACGUCAAAGGCUACUCUGCUUCGAGUACGUACCGAAAGGAAAUCUUGAUGAGUAUAUGAAAGGUAGGAUCACACGGCGUGCAACU
This 399-nucleotide ribosomal RNA is filed under the name Triticum aestivum (bread wheat). RNAcentral describes it as "partial small subunit ribosomal RNA". Lineage: Eukaryota; Viridiplantae; Streptophyta; Magnoliopsida; Poales; Poaceae. The record is from RNAcentral.